RNAcentral lists this ribosomal RNA (483 nucleotides) under uncultured bacterium. RNAcentral describes it as "partial 16S ribosomal RNA". It matches the Rfam family "Bacterial small subunit ribosomal RNA", at positions 28 to 523 of the family's 1533-position model. The record is from RNAcentral.
GACGAACGCUGGCGGCGUGCUUAACACAUGCAAGUCGAACGAUGAAGCUGGAGCUUGCUCCGGUGGAUUAGUGGCGAACGGGUGAGUAACACGUGAGCAAUCUGCCCUUGACUCUGGGAUAACUGCGGGAAACUGUAGCUAAUACCGGAUACGAGACUUGGAGGCAUCUCCAGGUCUGGAAAGAAUUUCGGUCAAGGAUGAGCUCGCGGCCUAUCAGCUAGUUGGUGAGGUAAUGGCUCACCAAGGCGACGACGGGUAGCCGGCCUGAGAGGGUGACCGGCCACACUGGGACUGAGACAUGGCCCAGACUCCUACGGGAGGCAGCAGUGGGGAAUAUUGCACAAUGGGCGAAAGCCUGAUGCAGCAACGCCGCGUGAGGGAUGAAGGCCUUCGGGUUGUAAACCUCUUUUAGCAGGGAAGAAGCGAAAGUGACGGUACCUGCAGAAAAAGCACCGGCUAACUACGUGCCAGCCGCCGCAGUAA